Long non-coding RNA from Eurytemora carolleeae, 408 nucleotides. RefSeq lists it as uncharacterized. Lineage: Eukaryota; Metazoa; Arthropoda; Copepoda; Calanoida; Temoridae. The record is from RefSeq and is a predicted model, not a curated record. The transcript is spliced from 2 exons.
CUACUAUAUAUUUAAUGAUAAUCUAGAUGUUUCCUGCAUACUAUAUAUUUAAUGGUUUACUGGGAACUCUGCAAGUUCUUCAUCUUCUCUGGACAUAUUUCCUCAUCAAGGCAAUUCACAAGGCAAUGACGAAAGGAGGCGUGGACGACAAAAGAUCAGAUUCUGAACCAAGCGAGGACGAAGACGAAAAUGACGAAAAGAAGGACGAUUAAUCUUUUCAAAAUAUUUUGUUUUGUAUAAAUUAUUUGUUAUUUUUUCUCAUGUUUUCUUUUGGGUUCUUAUAAGACUGAAUUGGAGAAGUACUUUUUAAAAUAUGUUGUGCAAAAUUAUUAAAAAUAUUUAUCGACCUUGAAUAUGUUUUCAAGAAAAUGUGCCACAAACUAUCUGUGACUAAACACAUAUCCUGCA